Ciona savignyi (Pacific transparent sea squirt) is the source of this 73-nucleotide non-coding RNA. NCBI's taxonomy places the organism in Eukaryota, Metazoa, Chordata, Ascidiacea, Phlebobranchia, Cionidae. The record is from Rfam.
GCCCGGUUAGCUCAGCCGGUAGAGCGUUGGACUUUUAAUCAAAAGGCCAAGGUUUCAAGUCCCUUAUCGGGCU